RNAcentral lists this long non-coding RNA (780 nucleotides) under Mustela putorius furo (domestic ferret). Its description in RNAcentral is "lncRNA (ENSMPUG00000028665.1)". Lineage: Eukaryota; Metazoa; Chordata; Mammalia; Carnivora; Mustelidae. The record is from RNAcentral.
AUUCUCCUCGCUUCCGCUAGUGGAGUAGGCGUUUUAUCAUCUCACAUCUCCCAGGGAGAGUAAGGGGGCAGAGAUACCACCUCCCUAACAAGAAGUGUGCAGAAGGUGUUACAGGAGCCAUGAAGUGGCUCCUGCCCAAGGCUGGGGACCAUGGAGGAAGCAGGCCAAAUUUCCUGGAGCUCUUGACGCUUGAGCUGAGGUUCGGAGCAGGAGUGCCCACUGCUAGAUGAGGAAUGCAAGAGAAGAGUAGGGAACAAGCAGGUUUUGAAGAGACUUUGGCCCAAAAAACAAGCUGAGCUGCUCCUGUUUAAAAGAGACUGUUUUUCAUGAGUGCUACAUGUCGGGAAACAAAAGAGAGGGCCAAAUGGAGCAGAUCUGCAUCUGCAGCAGCCUCUGGAAAACAUAAAGCCAGUUAUGAGAAGGAGGCCCAAGGACAGCAGUUGAUCCUGAAAACGGUCUUAAUUUAUCUCUGUCUCAUUAGCUUAAUGCUGAUGCUGAAGGUCCCCAGGUUGCUGACCAAGCUUGGUGACGUGCUUUUCGACUUGGCCUGAGGCUUAUCAGAUCCAAAGAUGAGGCUUACAGUUCAGGCAACCGUCCCCUGCUGAUUCUGGCCCUUUGUGUCUACUCACCGGGAACUUUCAUUCAUCUAUGGGACUACAGUAAUUAAAAGCAGGAGGGAAGACUGUCCUCAUUGGCUAGCCUCUCUCUGUGAAUCAGCGUGACAGGCAAAGUCACAUAAAUAAAUGCUUACCCUGCAGGAACCACCUUGUAAGUAUGGAG